This 454-nucleotide ribosomal RNA is filed under the name uncultured bacterium. Its description in RNAcentral is "partial 16S ribosomal RNA". It matches the Rfam family "Bacterial small subunit ribosomal RNA", at positions 28 to 507 of the family's 1533-position model. The record is from RNAcentral.
GAUGAACGCUGACAGCAUGCUUAACACAUGCAAGUCGACCUGGACCUCGGGUUGGGGGGCGGACGGGUGAGUAACGCGUAAGGAACUUGCCCCACUGUUCGGGACAACAUUUGGAAACGAAUGGUAAUACCUGAUAUUAUGUUUUUAGGGCAUCUUAGACUUAUGAGAGCUAUAUGGGCUUGGAGAGAGCUUUGCGUCCGGUUAACUAGUUGGAGGGGUACCGGCUCGCCAAGGCGACGAUGGGUAGCCAGCCUGAUAGGGUGAACGGCCACAAAGGGACGGAGACACAGCCCUCACACAUUCCUGAGGCAGGAGUGAGGAAUAAUGCAUAAAGGACCGGGAGUCUGAUGCAGCAAUUCUGCGUGCACAAUGAAGAUUGUCUGAAUGUAAAGUGCUUCCAGUUGCUAAGAAGAAAAUGACGGUACCAACAGAAGAAGCGACGGCUAACUACGUG